ACACGAGAGAGGAGGUGGUCCAGAAAUUGCAUACGUUCAGGACUCGUGAGGUGGCUGUCCGCUAGCCGCCGUCCAGAUGGGCCGCCCGCUCAGGCACUGCCGAAGACCGGCAGGAACUGAGCGACGGCAAUCCCGCCCGUCCGUCGUACGGCGGCGAGCGAGAACCGGACAGUCACCCGACCCCCGGGCCGCCGACCGUUGUCCAGUCGGCCCGCGUGCAGCUCCCCGCUCCGGCGGGUCCAGCGCCGCGGAGCAGCCCGGGGGUUGUCCGUU
This 273-nucleotide small RNA is filed under the name Modestobacter sp. VKM Ac-2676. Its description in RNAcentral is "Actinobacteria sRNA Ms_IGR-5". It matches the Rfam family "Actinobacteria sRNA Ms_IGR-5". The record is from Rfam by way of RNAcentral. Lineage: Bacteria; Bacillati; Actinomycetota; Actinomycetes; Geodermatophilales; Geodermatophilaceae.